This 241-nucleotide ribosomal RNA is filed under the name uncultured bacterium. RNAcentral describes it as "partial 16S ribosomal RNA". It matches the Rfam family "Bacterial small subunit ribosomal RNA", at positions 536 to 776 of the family's 1533-position model. The record is from RNAcentral.
UAGCGUUAUUCGGAAUUACUGGGCGUAAAGCGCACGUAGGCGGCUGUUCAAGUCAGAGGUGAAAGCCUGGAGCUCAACUCCAGAACUGCCUUUGAAACUAGAUAGCUUGAAUCCAGGAGAGGUGAGUGGAAUUCCGAGUGUAGAGGUGAAAUUCGUAGAUAUUCGGAAGAACACCAGUGGCGAAGGCGGCUCACUGGACUGGUAUUGACGCUGAGGUGCGAAAGCGUGGGGAGCAAACAGG